Molecule: ribosomal RNA, 580 nt
Filed under: Trechus liguricus
Lineage: Eukaryota; Metazoa; Arthropoda; Insecta; Coleoptera; Carabidae
Description: partial 16S ribosomal RNA
Rfam family: Bacterial large subunit ribosomal RNA (bases 340-498)
Source: RNAcentral
AAUGGCUGCAGUAAUUUGACUGUACAAAGGUAGCAUAAUCAUUAGUUUUUUAAUUAAAAGCUUGUAUGAAGGGUUGGACGAAAUAAAAUCUGUCUCUUUUUAAAAUAAUUAGAAUUUAAUUUUUAAGUUAAAAAGCUUAAAUUUAUAUAAAAGACGAGAAGACCCUAUAGAGUUUAAUAAUUUAAAUUUAUUAAUAAAUUUAGAUUUAUUUAUUUUAUUUUUUUAAGAUUAUUUUAUUGGGGUAAUAGAAAGAUUUAAAAAAUUCUUUUUUAAUAAAAUCAUUAAUUUAUGAAAAUUUUGAUCCAUUAAAUUUUGAAUAUAAGAUUAAAUUACCUUAGGGAUAACAGCGUAAUUUUUUUUAAGAGUUCAUAUCGAUAAAAAAGUUUGCGACCUCGAUGUUGGAUUAAAGAUUAAUUUAGGUGUAGAAGUUUAAAUUUUUGGUCUGUUCGACCAUUGAAUCUUUACAUGAUCUGAGUUCAAACCGGUGUAAGCCAGGUUGGUUUCUAUCUUUAUAAAAUUUUUAUAUUUUAGUACGAAAGGACCAUUUAUAUUAUAUAUUAAUAUUUUUAUUAUUGAAUAU